RNAcentral lists this transfer RNA (86 nucleotides) under Candidatus Erwinia haradaeae. Its description in RNAcentral is "transfer RNA Leucine". It matches the Rfam family "tRNA". Rfam says of the family: Transfer RNA (tRNA) molecules are approximately 80 nucleotides in length. The record is from RNAcentral. Lineage: Bacteria; Pseudomonadati; Pseudomonadota; Gammaproteobacteria; Enterobacterales; Erwiniaceae.
GCGGGAGUGGCGAAAUAGGUAAACGCACCAGAUUUAGGUUCUGGCACUUUAAAAGUCUACGAGUUCGAGUCUCGUCUUCCGCACCA